ACACUUGUUCCCCAUUGCUCCUCUAUUUCCUUUGGUUUGUAGCUUCUCAUCCAUAUGAUAUUCUCCCUUGUCCUUGGCCCCAUUACAACCAUGGAAAGACCUUUUGAUUUGAACAUGCAUGUGUGCUUGAGUGUUGAUAUUAGAGGCUUGCCAAGUCUAUUUGUGUUUGCUUUCUUGAGUGCAUCGAGUGACAUUGAUUUACCUUAAACACUUGAGAGAAACACCGAUUUUGUGCAUCUGUGAGGC
RNAcentral lists this long non-coding RNA (246 nucleotides) under Vigna radiata. RNAcentral describes it as "long non-coding RNA (VRAD_LNC003664)". Lineage: Eukaryota; Viridiplantae; Streptophyta; Magnoliopsida; Fabales; Fabaceae. The record is from RNAcentral.